CCUACGGGAGGCAGCAGUGAGGAAUAUUGGUCAAUGGACGAGAGUCUGAACCAGCCAAGUAGCGUGAAGGAUGACUGCCCUAUGGGUUGUAAACUUCUUUUAUAUGGGAAUAAAAUGUUCCACGUGUGGGAUUUUGUAUGUACCAUAUGAAUAAGGAUCGGCUAACUCCGUGCCAGCAGCCGCGGUAAUACGGAGGAUCCGAGCGUUAACCGGAUUUAUUGGGUUUAAAGGGAGCGUAGGUGGAUUGUUAAGUCAGUUGUGAAAGUUUGCGGCUCAACCGUAAAAUUGCAGUUGAAACUGGCAGUCUUGAGUACAGUAGAGGUGGGCGGAAUUCGUGGUGUAGCGGUGAAAUGCUUAGAUAUCACGAAGAACUCCGAUUGCGAAGGCAGUUCACUGGACUGCAACUGACACUGAGGCUCGAAAGUGUGGGUAUCAAACAGGAUUAGAUACCCGUGUAGUC
RNAcentral lists this ribosomal RNA (460 nucleotides) under uncultured bacterium. Its description in RNAcentral is "partial 16S ribosomal RNA". It matches the Rfam family "Bacterial small subunit ribosomal RNA", at positions 338 to 795 of the family's 1533-position model. The record is from RNAcentral.